RNAcentral lists this ribosomal RNA (788 nucleotides) under uncultured bacterium. Its description in RNAcentral is "bacterial SSU rRNA". It matches the Rfam family "Bacterial small subunit ribosomal RNA", at positions 8 to 796 of the family's 1533-position model. The record is from RNAcentral.
AGAGUUUGAUCAUGGCUCAGAACGAACGCUGGCGGCGUGCUUAACACAUGCAAGUCGCGUGCGCAGUCCGUAGCAAUACGGAUGGGCGCACGGCGCACGGGUGCGUAACACGUGGGCAAUCUGCCCUCUGAUGGGGAAUAACCCGCCGAAAGGCGGGCUAAUUCCGCAUAAGAUUCCCGGGGCUUCGGUCCUGGGAUUGAAAGCAGUAAUGCGUCGGAGGAGGAGCCCGCGCCCGAUUAGCUAGUUGGUGAGGUAAUGGCUCACCAAGGCAAUGAUCGGUAGCUGGUCUGAGAGGAUGAUCAGCCACACUGGAACUGAGACACGGUCCAGACUCCUACGGGAGGCAGCAGUGGGGAAUCUUGCACAAUGGGCGAAAGCCUGAUGCAGCGACGCCGCGUGGGGGAUGAAGCAUUUCGGUGUGUAAACCCCUUUCGACUGGGAAGAAUACCUCGCAAGAGGGGUGACGGUACCAGUAGAAGAAGCCCCGGCUAACUACGUGCCAGCAGCCGCGGUAAGACGUAGGGGGCCAGCGUUGUUCGGAAUUACUGGGUGUAAAGGGUUCGUAGGCGGUGCGGCAAGUUGGGAGUGAAAUCUCUGGGCUUAACCCAGAGGCUGCUUCCAAAACUGCUGUGCUCGAGUGUGAGAGAGGCUCGUGGAAUUGCAGGUGUAGCGGUGAAAUGCGUAGAUAUCUGCAGGAACACCCGUGGCGAAAGCGGCGAGCUGGAUCACUACUGACGCUGAGGAACGAAAGCUAGGGGAGCAAACAGGAUUAGAUACCCUAGUAGUCC